RNAcentral lists this transfer RNA (76 nucleotides) under Chloroflexota bacterium. RNAcentral's name for it is "Chloroflexi bacterium tRNA-Arg". It matches the Rfam family "tRNA". Rfam says of the family: Transfer RNA (tRNA) molecules are approximately 80 nucleotides in length. Their secondary structure includes four short double-helical elements and three loops (D, anti-codon, and T loops). The record is from RNAcentral. Lineage: Bacteria; Bacillati; Chloroflexota.
GACCCCGUAGCUCAGUGGAUAGAGCGCGUCCCUGCGGAGGACGAGGCCGGGCGUUCGAAUCGCCCCGGGGUCGCCG